Molecule: ribosomal RNA, 279 nt
Filed under: Ruminococcus callidus
Lineage: Bacteria; Bacillati; Bacillota; Clostridia; Eubacteriales; Oscillospiraceae
Description: partial 16S ribosomal RNA
Rfam family: Bacterial small subunit ribosomal RNA
Source: RNAcentral
AUGGUAUGUGUCCGCAGCCGCGGUAAUACGUAGGGAGCGAGCGUUGUCCGGAAUUACUGGGUGUAAAGGGAGCGUAGGCGGGAUGGCAAGUCAGAUGUGAAAACUAUGGGCUCAACCCAUAGACUGCAUUUGAAACUGUUGUUCUUGAGUGAGGUAGAGGUAAGCGGAAUUCCUGGUGUAGCGGUGAAAUGCGUAGAGAUCAGGAGGAACAUCGGUGGCGAAGGCGGCUUACUGGGCCUUUACUGACGCUGAGGCUCGAAAGCGUGGGGAGCAAACAGG